RNAcentral lists this non-coding RNA (27 nucleotides) under Mus musculus (house mouse). The record is from RNAcentral. Lineage: Eukaryota; Metazoa; Chordata; Mammalia; Rodentia; Muridae.
UCCUGGAAGCCCGCUAAGCUUGAAUGU